Molecule: long non-coding RNA, 710 nt
Filed under: Pan troglodytes (chimpanzee)
Lineage: Eukaryota; Metazoa; Chordata; Mammalia; Primates; Hominidae
Description: long non-coding RNA NONPTRT016388
Source: RNAcentral
CAGGUGUUUCAGAUGAGUUCUCCGGAAUUUGGACCUCCUACUCUUGGGUUGAAGGUGGACGUAAUACGAGGGUCUGGUCCCCCAUACCUUGAGGACUCCGCUGCCCUCUGACAAUUACAGACAAUCCAAUUGUCCUCAUCCUUGAGGACUCUGCUGCCAUCUGACAAUUAGAGACAGUCCAAAACAUGCCACACUUUGAUCCUAAACACAUUCCUGGCUUUGGUCACUUUUGAAAAGUUCCUGAGUUAUGAGAAAUCAAUAAUAAGAGUGUUCAAAACCUGAACACUCUUUUUAGAAAUACCUGCUGGAACUACAUAUAUGAUUUAUGGGGUACUGUCUUGUAGUAUCUGGGAAAGUAGACCCAUCUAACCUGGAAUGAUCAUAGGCAACAAUGACCAAAAAUGGGGAUCUUUUGAUAUACCUAAAGUAAUUUAUUUGUGCACACCAUUGGAAAGAGCUGGUUUUAGAACCAGACAUGUAAAUAAGAGACUUACUUCCACUGGCACCUAAAAACUUCUAAAAGAAAUCCUGAAAGAAAAAGUCACCUUCAUUCAAGAGGAAAUUCAUAGAAUAGGAUCCUGACAAGUACUCUUGAAUACACGUUUCUGAUAACUUCGGAUAUCAUAUCAUUGGACUAAGUAACAACUUUCAGGUAUGUAAUAAACUGAUGUGUUCCUUAGAUUGCUAACUCAACAUCAAGCAGAACACGA